GACGAACGCUGGCGGCGUGCCUAAUACAUGCAAGUAGAACGCUGAAGAGAGGAGCUUGCUCUUCUUGGCUGAGUUGCGAACGGGUGAGUAACGCGUAGGUAACCUGCCUGGUAGCGGGGGAUAACUAUUGGAAACGAUAGCUAAUACCGCAUAAAAUUGAUUAUUGCAUGAUAAUUAAUUGAAAGAUGCAACUGCAUCACUACCAGAUGGACCUGCGUUGUAUUAGCUAGUUGGUGAGGUAACGGCUCACCAAGGCGACGAUACAUAGCCGACCUGAGAGGGUGAUCGGCCACACUGGGACUGAGACACGGCCCAGACUCCUACGGGAGGCAGCAGUAGGGAAUCUUCGGCAAUGGGGGGAACCCUGACCGAGCAACGCCGCGUGAGUGAAGAAGGUUUUCGGAUCGUAAAGCUCUGUUGUAAGAGAAGAACGGGUGUGAGAGUGGAAAGUUCACACUGUGACGGUAUCUUACCAGAAAGGGACGGCUAACUACGU
Molecule: ribosomal RNA, 496 nt
Filed under: uncultured bacterium
Lineage: Bacteria
Description: partial 16S ribosomal RNA
Rfam family: Bacterial small subunit ribosomal RNA
Source: RNAcentral